CCAGUGAAAUUAAACGGCUGCGGUACCCUGACCGUGCAAAGGUAGCAUAAUCACUCGUUCUUUAAAUAAGGACUCGUAUCAAUGGCACCACGAGAGUUAAACUGUCUCCCCCCCCCAAUCAGUGAAAUUGACCCCCCCGUGAAGAAGCGGGGAUAUGAAUAUAAGACGAGAAGACCCCAUGGAGCUUUAAACCACACUGCAUCUCUACCCCACAACCCCACAUAAUACUUAGAGUUUUGCAGUAAGGUCUUUGGUUGGGGUGACCGCGGAGUAAAAACUAGCCUCCACAACGUAAAGAACCAAAUCUUUAUCCAAGAAUUACUAUUCAAAGAAUUUGAAAACAAACGACUAAUGAUCCGACUUUCGAUCAACGGACCAAGUUACCCUGGGGAUAACAGCGCAAUCUACUUUUAGAGCCCUUAUCAACAAGUAGGCUUACGACCUCGAUGUUGGAUCAGGGUAUCCUAGCGGCGCAGCCGUUGCUAACGGUUCGUUUGUUCAACGAUUA
This 508-nucleotide ribosomal RNA is filed under the name Theloderma stellatum (Taylor's bug-eyed frog). RNAcentral's name for it is "partial large subunit ribosomal RNA". It matches the Rfam family "Bacterial large subunit ribosomal RNA", at positions 1914 to 2590 of the family's 2925-position model. The record is from RNAcentral. Lineage: Eukaryota; Metazoa; Chordata; Amphibia; Anura; Rhacophoridae.